This 809-nucleotide ribosomal RNA is filed under the name uncultured Bacteroidota bacterium. Its description in RNAcentral is "bacterial SSU rRNA". It matches the Rfam family "Bacterial small subunit ribosomal RNA", at positions 1 to 797 of the family's 1533-position model. The record is from RNAcentral. Lineage: Bacteria; Pseudomonadati; Bacteroidota.
UGUUUCCUGACUGUAAAACGACCCCCGGAUAAACCCGAUUCCCGAGCGUAACACGUGCCAGUCUAGAAAAAACCUCCUCGAAAGCUUGCUUUUGAUGGGCAUCAACCGGCGCACGGGUGAGUAACGCGUAUCCAACCUGCCCACCACUUGGGGAUAACCUUGCGAAAGCAAGACUAAUACCCAAUGACGUCUCUAGAGGACAUCUGAAAGAGAUUAAAGAUUUAUCGGUGAUGGAUGGGGAUGCGUCUGAUUAGCUUGUUGGCGGGGUAACGGCCCACCAAGGCUACGAUCAGUAGGGGUUCUAAGAGGAAGGUCCCCCACAUUGGAACUGAGACACGGUCCAAACUCCUACGGGAGGCAGCAGUGAGGAAUAUUGGUCAAUGGACGAGAGUCUGAACCAGCCAAGUAGCGUGCAGGAUGACGGCCCUAUGGGUUGUAAACUGCUUUUAUAAGGGAAUAAAGUGAGUCUCGUGAGACUUUUUGCAUGUACCUUAUGAAUAAGGACCGGCUAAUUCCGUGCCAGCAGCCGCGGUAAUACGGAAGGUCCGGGCGUUAUCCGGAUUUAUUGGGUUUAAAGGGAGCGUAGGCCGGAGAUUAAGCGUGUUGUGAAAUGUAGAUGCUCAACAUCUGCACUGCAGCGCGAACUGGUUUCCUUGAGUACGCACAAAGUGGGCGGAAUUCGUGGUGUAGCGGUGAAAUGCUUAGAUAUCACGAAGAACUCCGAUUGCGGAGGCAGCUCACUGGAGCGCAACUGACGCUGAAGCUAGAAAGUGCGGGUAUCGAACAGGAUUAAAUACCGUGGUACUCCG